Molecule: ribosomal RNA, 253 nt
Filed under: uncultured bacterium
Lineage: Bacteria
Description: partial 16S ribosomal RNA
Rfam family: Bacterial small subunit ribosomal RNA
Source: RNAcentral
UACGUAUGGUGCAAGCGUUAUCCGGAAUGACUGGGUGUAAAGGGAGCGUAGACGGUUGUACAAGUCUGAUGUGAAAGCCCACGGCUCAACUGUGGGAGUGCAUUGGAAACUGUAGAACUAGAGUAUCGGAGAGGCAAGUGGAAUUCCUAGUGUAGCGGUGAAAUGCGUAGAUAUUAGAAGGAACACCAGUGGCGAAGGCGGCUUGCUGGACGAAAACUGACGUUGAGGCUCGAAAGCGUGGGGAGCAAACAGG